This 81-nucleotide small RNA is filed under the name Nematostella vectensis (starlet sea anemone). RNAcentral describes it as "Flavo-1 RNA". It matches the Rfam family "Flavo-1 RNA". Lineage: Eukaryota; Metazoa; Cnidaria; Anthozoa; Actiniaria; Edwardsiidae. The record is from Rfam by way of RNAcentral.
UCAUAGCCCAGAUAGAGACGAUAUCCUUUUAAUUGUUCCAUAAAAAACAAUUAAAAGAUAAAGACGAUAGCUGGAAAUAGC